RNAcentral lists this ribosomal RNA (225 nucleotides) under uncultured Flavobacterium sp. RNAcentral describes it as "partial 16S ribosomal RNA". It matches the Rfam family "Bacterial small subunit ribosomal RNA", at positions 568 to 792 of the family's 1533-position model. Lineage: Bacteria; Pseudomonadati; Bacteroidota; Flavobacteriia; Flavobacteriales; Flavobacteriaceae. The record is from RNAcentral.
UCCGUAGGCGGUUUAAUAAGUCAGUGGUGAAAUCUGGUCGCUCAACGAUCAAACGGCCAUUGAUACUGUUAGACUUGAAUUAUAAGGAAGUAACUAGAAUAUGUAGUGUAGCGGUGAAAUGCUUAGAUAUUACAUGGAAUACCAAUUGCGAAGGCAGGUUACUACUUAUGGAUUGACGCUGAUGGACGAAAGCGUGGGGAGCGAACAGGAUUAGAUACCCCUGUA